This is a small nucleolar RNA of Thalassophryne amazonica, 129 nucleotides long. RefSeq annotates it as small nucleolar RNA SNORA8. The transcript has a single exon. Lineage: Eukaryota; Metazoa; Chordata; Actinopteri; Batrachoidiformes; Batrachoididae. The record is from RefSeq and is a predicted model, not a curated record.
GGCACUGCGUGGUAUCUGCAGCCAGUUGGUUCAUCAGCUGGUUUGUUCAAAAGCCAGUGCAAGAGAGAGUCAACUUUUGGCAUCGUUGGUCUCCUUAGCACUUUGUGUUUGGAGUCCUGGUAAACAGGU